RNAcentral lists this transfer RNA (85 nucleotides) under Felis catus (domestic cat). It matches the Rfam family "tRNA". Rfam says of the family: Transfer RNA (tRNA) molecules are approximately 80 nucleotides in length. Their secondary structure includes four short double-helical elements and three loops (D, anti-codon, and T loops). Lineage: Eukaryota; Metazoa; Chordata; Mammalia; Carnivora; Felidae. The record is from Rfam by way of RNAcentral.
GCCUGGGUGGCUCAGUCAGUAAAGCUUCUGACUUUGGCUCAGGUCAUGAUCUUGCGGUUCGUGAGUUCGAGCCUCGCACCGGACU